UACAGAGGUCCCAAGCGUUGUUCGGAUUCACUGGGCGUAAAGGGUGCGUAGGCGGUCGGGUAAGUCUGACGUGAAAUCUCCGAGCUUAACUUGGAAACUGCCAUGGAUACUAUAGAUCUUGAAUACUGUGGAGGUCAGCGGAAUAUGUCAUGUAGCGGUGAAAUGCUUAGAUAUGACAUAGAACACCAAUUGCGAAGGCAGCUGGCUACACAAAUAUUGACACUGAGGCACGAAAGCGUGGGGAUCAAACAGG
Molecule: ribosomal RNA, 253 nt
Filed under: uncultured prokaryote
Description: partial 16S ribosomal RNA
Rfam family: Bacterial small subunit ribosomal RNA
Source: RNAcentral